This 253-nucleotide ribosomal RNA is filed under the name uncultured bacterium. RNAcentral describes it as "partial 16S ribosomal RNA". It matches the Rfam family "Bacterial small subunit ribosomal RNA", at positions 524 to 776 of the family's 1533-position model. The record is from RNAcentral.
UACGAAGGGGGCUAGCGUUGCUCGGAAUCACUGGGCGUAAAGGGCGCGUAGGCGGAUCUUUAAGUCAGGGGUGAAAGCCUGAGGCUCAACCUCAGAAUUGCCUUUGAUACUGAAGAUCUUGAGACCGGAAGAGGUAAGUGGAACUGCGAGUGUAGAGGUGAAAUUCGUAGAUAUUCGCAAGAACACCAGUGGCGAAGGCGGCUUACUGGUCCGGUUCUGACGCUGAGGCACGAAAGCGUGGGGAGCAAACAGG